This is a transfer RNA of Exophiala xenobiotica, 179 nucleotides long. It matches the Rfam family "tRNA". Rfam says of the family: Transfer RNA (tRNA) molecules are approximately 80 nucleotides in length. Their secondary structure includes four short double-helical elements and three loops (D, anti-codon, and T loops). Further hydrogen bonds mediate the characteristic L-shaped molecular structure. tRNAs have two regions of fundamental functional importance: the anti-codon, which is responsible for specific mRNA codon recognition, and the 3' end, to which the tRNAs corresponding amino acid is attached (by aminoacyl-tRNA synthetases). tRNAs cope with the degeneracy of the genetic code in two manners: having more than one tRNA (with a specific anti-codon) for a particular amino acid; and 'wobble' base-pairing, i.e. permitting non-standard base-pairing at the 3rd anti-codon position. Lineage: Eukaryota; Fungi; Ascomycota; Eurotiomycetes; Chaetothyriales; Herpotrichiellaceae. The record is from Rfam.
GGAGAGAUGGCCGAGUUGGUUAUGGCGUCAGGUUAAGGCUUUGAAGUCUUAGCUCCUCAGUAUCCAGCAAUGGAUAGACGUUUCCUGAUGGGAGUAAUCCCGUACGUUCUAUCUUCUCCUCCUCUGAUUCUUGCAUGUCCUAACAAUCCUAGGCGUGGGUUCGAAUCCCACUCUCUUCA